GCUGUGGCUCAGUGGUACGGCAUCUGCUUCACUUGCCGAAGGUCCUGGGUUCAAUCCCCAGUAUCUCCA
Molecule: transfer RNA, 69 nt
Filed under: Sphaerodactylus townsendi
Lineage: Eukaryota; Metazoa; Chordata; Lepidosauria; Squamata; Sphaerodactylidae
Description: tRNA-Val
Rfam family: tRNA
About the family: Transfer RNA (tRNA) molecules are approximately 80 nucleotides in length. Their secondary structure includes four short double-helical elements and three loops (D, anti-codon, and T loops).
Source: RNAcentral